UAGACGUGUUCGGCUUAACUUGUGUGCACGCGCUUGUUUAAGUUUUAGAUUUUAAUCAUCAUUUUCAUUUGUUUUCUGAAAACAGAAAAAUACAAAAAAAACAUUUUAAACUUUAUGUAAACGAAUAGAAUUUUCUUUAAUUUUAAAAAGUUUUUGAAAAAAAUUUUAAACGAAAAAAUUUAACGAAAACCGUGUGUGUGUGGCAUUCAAAUUUUGAAUUUUAAACGAAAACUUAAACAAAAAUAUUAAGUUUUUUUUAAUAAAAAACAUUCAAUAAUUUCUAAAAAGUA
Lucilia sericata (common green bottle fly) is the source of this 290-nucleotide long non-coding RNA. RefSeq lists it as uncharacterized. The record is from RefSeq and is a predicted model, not a curated record. The transcript is spliced from 2 exons. NCBI's taxonomy places the organism in Eukaryota, Metazoa, Arthropoda, Insecta, Diptera, Calliphoridae.